RNAcentral lists this microRNA precursor (99 nucleotides) under Procavia capensis (Cape rock hyrax). RNAcentral's name for it is "miRNA (ENSPCAG00000020106.1)". The stretch from base 10 to 98 matches the Rfam family "mir-146 microRNA precursor family". Lineage: Eukaryota; Metazoa; Chordata; Mammalia; Hyracoidea; Procaviidae. The record is from RNAcentral.
AGAGAACUUUGGCCACCUGUGCCUGAGAACUGAAUGCCAUAGGCAGUGAGCGCUAGCAGAUACCCUAGGAACUCAGUUCUGGUGCCCAUCAGUGCUACA